GAUGAACGCUGGCGGCGUGCCUAAUACAUGCAAGUCGAACGCUGGAAAUCUAGCUUGCUAGAUUGAAGGAGUGGCGAACGGGUGAGUAAUACAUAAGCAACCUACCCACGAAGACUGGGAUAAUCUCUGGAAACGGGGACUAAUACCGGAUAGGUAAUCGGAAGGCAUCUUCUGAUUAUUAAAGGUUAAAAACACUGGUGGAUGGGCUUAUGGCGCAUUAGUUAGUUGGUGAGGUAACGGCCCACCAAGACGAUGAUGCGUAGCCGGCCUGAGAGGGUGAACGGCCACAUUGGGACUGAGACCCGGCCCAGACUCCUACGGGAGGCAGCAGUAGGGAAUUUUCGGCAAUGGGGGAAACCCUGACCGAGCAACGCCGCGUGAGUGAUGACGGCCUUCGGGUUGUAAAGCUCUGUUGUAAGGGAAGAACGGUAGAUAGAGAAUAUCUAAAUGACGGUACCUUACCAGAAAGCCACGGCUAACUACGUG
Molecule: ribosomal RNA, 486 nt
Filed under: uncultured bacterium
Lineage: Bacteria
Description: partial 16S ribosomal RNA
Rfam family: Bacterial small subunit ribosomal RNA
Source: RNAcentral